UCGGGUGACAGGGAGACAGGUGGUGCAUGGUUGUCGUCAGCUCGUGUCGUGAGAUGUUGGGUUAAGUCCCGCAACGAGCGCAACCCCUACGUUUAGUUGCUAACGCGUGAAGGCGAGCACUCUAGACGAACUGCCGUUGACAAAACGGAGGAAGGUGGGAUGACGUCAAAUCAUCAUGCCCCUUAUGUUCUGGGCUACACACGUGCUACAAUGGCCGGUACAGACGGACGCAAAGCCGCGAGGUGGAGCAAAUCCUAAAAAGCCGGUCUCAGUUCGGAUUGCAGGCUGCAAUUCGCCUGCAUGAAGUCGGAAUCGCUAGUAAUCGCAGGUCAGCAUACUGCGGUGAAUACGUUCCCGGGCCUU
Molecule: ribosomal RNA, 363 nt
Filed under: uncultured Bacillus sp.
Lineage: Bacteria; Bacillati; Bacillota; Bacilli; Caryophanales; Bacillaceae
Also listed under: 1 other name
Description: bacterial SSU rRNA
Rfam family: Bacterial small subunit ribosomal RNA
Source: RNAcentral